UCCCGGGUCGUCUAAGGGCAGGACGGCACCCUUUGGAGGUGCUCAUGGAGGUUCGAAUCCUUCCCCGGGAG
Molecule: transfer RNA, 71 nt
Filed under: Actinomycetota bacterium
Lineage: Bacteria; Bacillati; Actinomycetota
Description: tRNA-Gln
Rfam family: tRNA
About the family: Transfer RNA (tRNA) molecules are approximately 80 nucleotides in length. Their secondary structure includes four short double-helical elements and three loops (D, anti-codon, and T loops).
Source: RNAcentral